AGAUUCAAGGAAUGAGGUGGGAAGCUCUAAUAUUGUACUGAUUUUUUGGUUAAGGUUCGUGGAAGUUUCAAGUUGAUAGUGACAUUAGAAAAAAUCAUUAGUAGCAAUUUCGUGCAAUUUUUUUUUUUUUUUUUGAAAAUUCAACCAUAAUAUAAAAGGGCAAUGCGCCCUUUGCACACACCUUGGAUGAAAGAAUCUGGGUAUUGGAUCAGCCCCACUAGUCAUCUUUUCUUUAAGAUUCAUAAAACUUUAUUAGAAGUAGUGAUUUUUGGAGUUGCUUAUCGUUUGCAACGGCCAUAAGAGAAAAUAGAUGGCAACCUAGUUCCAACCACCAUUUUUAAGGAUGAACCUUUCCCCCUUUUCAAGCGUUCAUCUUAGCUCUCAAUUUCACCUUCUUUGGAGCAAUAAUGGUUAUAUCUCUAUGCAAGAGAUAUUCGAGAAUUGUUAAACACAAUUGUCUAAUGGUUAAAUCUGUAUGCAAGAGAUAUUCGAGAAUUGUUAGAUACGAUCGUCUUCUUGUUAUUGUUUCUGUAACAAUAGCGGUUGCAAUACUCAUAUGUUCCUGUAUCUUCUGCUUUGAUAUCAAGAAUGGUGCUUCCAGGAAAUAUAAGGUUGGAGAGGAUGCUUAUAAAAGGCAAUGUCCCGAGGAACAUUUUCCCACACCUUUGAAUGAAAAAAGGGAAUUAUUAAUUGGGAUCGUCCUCAGUAGUCAAUCUUGUCUCGAAAAUGAAUAAAAAUUCAGUAGAGCAAACGAUUUUUGGAGCUGCCUUUGUGACAGUUAUUGCUCUUCCACUACUGCCAUAUCAGAAAAUUGGUGGCAACCCAGUGCCGACCAUCAUCUUUAACGACAACCCUUCCUCCUUCACUGCAUUCGUUUUAGCUCUCAAUUUUGCCUUCACCGGCGCCGUAAUGGCUAUAUAUCUACGAACGGCAUGUCCGAGAAUUGCUAGCUAUUGUCGCUUUCUUGCUAUUGUUUCCAUUGCAACAGCGGCGGCAAUACCUAUGUGGUUAGUCUUAACCUCCACUUCCGGACUUCGCCCUCAAUUUCAUGCCCAUAUUGAUCUUUAGUUCCUAAACUCAUGUCUCUGAAUUUUCAUCAAUAAAAUAGAGUACACAAAGUAUUGAGGCAAAGGAUACUGCUGGUUUUUUUCCUUUCUUUCUUUCUUUAUUUCUUUCUUUUCUUGUUUUUGGUUUUGUUUCCCCUGUGUGUGUGUGUGUGUAUAUAUAUAUAUAUAUAAAUAAAAUAAGGUGUUAUGCCAAUUCACUGGCUUCAUUUCAUCAGCACAGCAAUAAAUGAUUAUUGCAUCUAUGUGCCACCACCUAGUGUUGUGAUUGUGCGACUACACAACCAGAGGGAUGAUGAGCUGAAGAGGAGUUGCAUAUCAUGGUAAUAUAGGGGGCUUUGUGUUGCUUGGUAUUUCACCUAAGGUAAAAUAUUCCUGUGUACUGAUGAGUUUUGUUAAAUUGAAUGGACAAAUGAGUUGAUUAAAUGAA
This is a long non-coding RNA of Cornus florida, 1494 nucleotides long. RefSeq lists it as uncharacterized. NCBI's taxonomy places the organism in Eukaryota, Viridiplantae, Streptophyta, Magnoliopsida, Cornales, Cornaceae. The record is from RefSeq and is a predicted model, not a curated record. The transcript has 2 exons.